Molecule: long non-coding RNA, 739 nt
Filed under: Oryctolagus cuniculus (rabbit)
Lineage: Eukaryota; Metazoa; Chordata; Mammalia; Lagomorpha; Leporidae
Description: lncRNA (ENSOCUG00000036316.1)
Source: RNAcentral
AACUCCAGGUACAGCACCCUCAGCUGGUUGGGGGAGGGGGCUUUAUCUAUCUAUUUCUGUGUUCUGCUUCUGUUGGAUUUAUGUUUGAACUUCUCCGACAUUUCUAAGUGUUUGGUACAAACAAGGCCAUUUCAGCUUGAAAAAGCAGUGGCAAGCAGUUCCCGGGGCUUGUUAGUGCUUUAUUGUGGCCAGAAUCCUGCCUUCCGAUCUACCCUGAGAUUAUCGACUCAGAGGGAGCGCUCAGUCGCCACUUACAACACAGCUUGCAGGCCGAGUCUCCAGCAGACGCCACGUGGUGAGAAGCCGCCACGCGAAGCCAGCCGCACGCAGGACGUCCACUUCCUCCAAGCGCAAGAUGCCCUGGUCAGCUGUCCAGGGGCUGGACAUAGCCGUGGCCGGCCGGCCCUUACUCAUCCAGAGCAGAUGUGGGUUCACAUCAAUAAUUCAUGGAAGCCAGAAAUCUGCCAUCAAUUAAACCACGUCCUGUGCCCACACUCCCUGUAACCGCCCGGAAGCUCCCGGGCUGGGCCCCACAUCACACACGUCUGCGAAAAUCGUCCCUGGAACCUUAAAUUCAUUGAGCUUGAGGAUCAUGGCCCCGUUGGUUAACGUUUUGGUUAAAAGUCCUUGAAGCUUUUGGCGUGGCUGAUUGGAUGCGGGUCUCUGGUGUAGUGGACGCGCCUGGCGUGGCUCCCUGUACAGGCCACAGAGAGGUGGGCCUGCCGCAGUAAGGCGGGUG